Brassica oleracea var. oleracea is the source of this 446-nucleotide long non-coding RNA. RefSeq lists it as uncharacterized. The transcript is spliced from 3 exons. NCBI's taxonomy places the organism in Eukaryota, Viridiplantae, Streptophyta, Magnoliopsida, Brassicales, Brassicaceae. The record is from RefSeq and is a predicted model, not a curated record.
ACCAUUAUUUUAGAUCGAGCCAGAGCUGAUGCCAUUGUUAUCCACCUCUGAUCAUCACUCUCUCCUCUCCAUCUCUGUCCUCCUUUGUUCUCACGUUCUUCUUCUCCCUCUGAAGCUGUGCGUUGUUGUACGAGAUGCGAGGCGCAAUCACCACCACCACCACCGUGAACCAUCUCACCUUGUCCCUCCGCGGAGCCUUGGUUCACACCGGAGGAAUUACUCUUGUCACUAGAGAUGUGGAUCUAUGGAGCUUUAGCUUUUCCGAGAAGUUGGCAAACCCAUCGCUUGCAUGAUCCGAGGUGAAACCCUAGGUUUCUUGGUAAUCAAGUUAUCUUUGGUUAUUGUCCGAUUCAUUUCGGGUUCUCCGACAUUGGCUAAGGUGAACAUGACGAGUAGUUAGAUAUGUGGACGGAUUGGUGUCUUGGGAUCGUUGUAUUUUAUUUCGG